This 484-nucleotide ribosomal RNA is filed under the name uncultured bacterium. Its description in RNAcentral is "partial 16S ribosomal RNA". It matches the Rfam family "Bacterial small subunit ribosomal RNA", at positions 30 to 507 of the family's 1533-position model. The record is from RNAcentral.
AUUGAACGCUGGCGGCAGGCCUAACACAUGCAAGUCGAGCGGAUGAAGGGAGCUUGCUCCUGGAUUCAGCGGCGGACGGGUGAGUAAUGCCUAGGAAUCUGCCUGGUAGUGGGGGAUAACGUCCGGAAACGGGCGCUAAUACCGCAUACGUCCUGAGGGAGAAAGUGGGGGAUCUUCGGACCUCACGCUAUCAGAUGAGCCUAGGUCGGAUUAGCUAGUUGGUGGGGUAAAGGCCUACAAAGGCGACGAUCCGUAACUGGUCUGAGAGGAUGAUCAGUCACACUGGAACUGAGACGCGGUCCAGACUCCUACGGGAGGCAGCAGUGGGGAAUAUUGGACAAUGGGCGAGAGCCUGAUCCAGCCAUGCCGCGUGUGUGAAGAAGGUCUUCGGAUUGUAAAGCACUUUAAGUUGGGAGGAAGGGCAGUAAGUUAAUACCUUGCUGUUUUGACGUUACCAACAGAAUAAGCACCGGCUAACUUCGUG